RNAcentral lists this long non-coding RNA (274 nucleotides) under Lathyrus oleraceus (garden pea). RNAcentral describes it as "Pisum sativum (pea) long non-coding RNA (PSAT_LNC030255)". Lineage: Eukaryota; Viridiplantae; Streptophyta; Magnoliopsida; Fabales; Fabaceae. The record is from RNAcentral.
AAAUUAAAAAAAAAAAUAAAACGAAAAAUAAAACGAAAAAAAUAAAAUAAUAAUAAUAAUAAUAAAUAAAUAAAUAAAAAUAAUAAUAAAAAAAUAAUAAAUAAAAUAUAAUAGAAAAAACUUGGACUUGGACCUCUCUCAUUUGAGCCCACAAAGCCAUGAAAAUCAGGUUAUAAAAGAUGAAGAUCAGACAGAAAAAGGAAGAGAAGCAAAAUACUUUGAGGUUUCCUUGAAACAAAACCCUGGACAAAACCUGGAGAGGAACCUGACAGAG